This 78-nucleotide non-coding RNA is filed under the name Methanoculleus bourgensis. Lineage: Archaea; Methanobacteriati; Methanobacteriota; Methanomicrobia; Methanomicrobiales; Methanomicrobiaceae. The record is from RNAcentral.
GUGAGCGCGCUGCGAUGAAAGUCGCACGGUGCGUUCCUGGAAGGGGGGGAGGGUGGUAACACCCUCUCCCUAUUCGAC